UUAACAUAUUUAAUAUGGAUGGCAAUAUCUUAUCAAUUUUAAUGGUUACAUUGCAAUUUUCAUUUAAAAUUAUUCUUAUAAAUGUAUUUCCAGCUAUAGAUAACAGUUCGUAACAUAUGUUUAAAAAAAACAAAGUAUAUCUUUAACAAAAAAAGGCCAUAUAUUCAUAUCUAAAUUUCAUCAGCUGCCAAUAUAGAAUGUUAAAACAGCUAGGCGCGUCUGUGCUCAACCUUGCUUAAGUGAUUUACAACAUUUGAUCUUGGCCAACAACAAAAUGAAUGCAUAGUAUGAAAAUUAGAAAAAUCAUAUCGAUUCCUCUUACCAAAUGAACUGUGGAAAAAAGAAGGUACUAUUUAGCAUUAGUAUUGCAUCAGAUGAAAUAUUUCUUCAAAGGUUGUCAAUGAAAGCAAACCAAUCAGCUCACUGUAUUAUCAGGUUUUUUGUCUAGAUAAAAAGCUUUAAAAAAGAUAGCAAUGUUAUAGUAUCAGUACCCAUGAAGCUGUUCUAACAAAGAGGGGACGAAAGAUACCAGAGGGACAGUCAACCUCAUAGAUAAAAAAAAUAAACUGACAACGCCAUGGAUAAAAAAGAAAAGACUAACAGAAGAACAAAAGUUAACAAGAAACAACAUAGAAAACUAAAGACUAAGCAGCACAAACCCCACAAAAAAACUGGGGUACAAAGUUUCCAUGGGUUUUUUACUAAAGGAAUUCUAGUUUAUUUUUUUUAUAAAAUCCUGCAUUGAAACAGUUGCAGAGAAAUAAACUACACAGCUACUUUUGCAUAGGUACCAUUUCUGUACUAAAAAUCUGUAGUACUGGAAAUCUAUUUUUAAUAUUCAGU
This 843-nucleotide long non-coding RNA is filed under the name Mytilus galloprovincialis (Mediterranean mussel). The record is from RNAcentral. Lineage: Eukaryota; Metazoa; Mollusca; Bivalvia; Mytilida; Mytilidae.